AGCAGCCGCGGUAAUUCCAGCUCCAAUAGCGUAUAUUAAAGUUGUUGCAGUUAAAAAGCUCGUAGUUGAAUUUCGGGGUUAGUAAGUUGGUCAUGCCUUCGGUAUGUACUGGCUUUACUGAUUCCUCCUUCUUGACGAACCGUGAUGUCAUUAAUUUGGUGUUGCGGGAAAUCAGGACUGUUACUUUGAAAAAAUUAGAGUGUUUAAAGCAGGCUAACGCUUGAAUACAUUAGCAUGGAAUAAUGAAAUAGGACGUUAAUCCUAUUUUGUUGGUUUCUAGGAUCGACGUAAUGAUUAAUAGGGAUAGUUGGGGGCAUUAGUAUUCAAUUGUCAGAGGUGAAAUUCUUGGAUUUAUUGAAGACUAACUACUGCGAAAGCAUUUGCCAAGGAUGUUUUCAUUAAUCAAGAACGAAAGUUAGGGGAUCGAAGACGAUCAGAUACCGUCGUAGUCUUAACCAUAAACUAUGCCGACUAGGGAUCGGAUGAUGUUAAUUCUUUAAUGACUCA
Molecule: ribosomal RNA, 507 nt
Filed under: uncultured Glomus
Lineage: Eukaryota; Fungi; Glomeromycota; Glomeromycetes; Glomerales; Glomeraceae
Description: SSU rRNA
Rfam family: Eukaryotic small subunit ribosomal RNA
Source: RNAcentral